AGCAGUAGCCACGGGAAUACGUAGGGGGCAAGCGUUAUCCGGAAUUACUGGGUGUAAAGGGAGCGUAGACGGUUAAACAAGUCUGAAGUGAAAUGCCGGGGCUCAACCCCGGAGCUGCUUUGGGAACUGUAGAACUGGAGUGUCGGAGGGGUAAGCGGAAUUCCCAGUGUAGCGGUGAAAUGCGUAGAUAUUGGGAGGAACACCGGCGGCGAAGGCGGCUUACUGGACGACAACUGACGUUGAGGCUCGAAGGCGUGGGUAGCAAACAGGAUUAGAUACCCGCGUAGUCCCUGUCUCUUAUAC
This 303-nucleotide ribosomal RNA is filed under the name uncultured bacterium. RNAcentral describes it as "partial 16S ribosomal RNA". It matches the Rfam family "Bacterial small subunit ribosomal RNA", at positions 507 to 807 of the family's 1533-position model. The record is from RNAcentral.